AGCGCGCGUUCCGGCUCGGCUGAAACGCACCAGGAGAAAGCAAGACACCUGCCAAGACGUCCUCUCUUCCAGUUACCCCCAGGGUGAGGUGGUCACCUUCUCCUGAGCCCCAGCUGGAUGCAGGCAGCACCCCAGCGAGGGACGCGUGCCCCGAGGGAUGCUCUCCCUGAAGCUGAGGGAUGUUUGCCCAAAGGGAUGCAUUCCCUGAGGCCCAGGGAUGCUAUCCCGUGGCUCAAGGAUCCUCUCCCUGAGGCUGAGUGAUGCAUUCCCCUAAAGAUGCUCUCCCCAUGGCCAAGGGACGCUCUGCCCAAGGGAGAUGCUGUCACCGGUGCCAAGGGAUGCUCUCCCCAACCCCGAGGGAUGCUCUGCCCUAGGCUGAGGGAUGCAUUCUCCCAGGGGUGCUCUCCCUGAGGCCAAGAGAUGCUCUCCCAGUGAGCUUUGCCUGCCCCACGCAGCGACCCAAAGCUCUGGCUGCCAUCCCCAUGGCUGGAGAAAUGGGAUUUGGCAGCCGAUUCCCCUGCUGAAGAGGGGCAGUGGGGGGCUCCCUGCCUGCUGCCAGCCGCGCCGUGCUCUGCCCCAUCCUCUGCCCCUGCUUUUGGACACGUGCCCCAGCCGCUGCCAUCCCGCUGAUGUGACCCAGCUGGAGCCCCACCAGCUGCUCACCCCUCACUCCUGCACAGUGCCCCAUCCACGCUCUGACCACCUCCAUCGCCAAACUGGGGCUCUCCUCCGCGCUGGGUGCCACACAUGGGGUGCUGCGCCAUCACGGGGUGGGCUGGGGGGGGGUUGGGGAUGGGAAGCAAUAGCAGAUGGGGACGGGUGCCGAGGUGGGGUGAACCCGGCUGGCCCGAAAGGGUCGGUGUCUUUCUAAUGCUGUUCCAUAUCUCUGUGAUGAAGGCAAUACUACUCCCAUUUCCUCUGUCCUGUACGCAUGCCUCUCCCUGUCCAGCCGCACUAGAGUUUGAAUAAAGACAUCCGUGAGCUGAGUCAGCUCCCACAGCCCCUGCCUUGGCGUGUCCCUCCUUGCCCAAGGAUCGCGGUCCCAGCGGCCGUGCUGCCCUCACAUUGGAUCAGAGCCCUCUUGGAAAGCUCACGUUGGUUGCAACAUCCACACCAUCUUCAUUUGGUGGAGGGACGCACUGCAGAGCUGACCAAAGCAUUGCCUCUCCCUGCUCUGAGCAGCAAAGCUGAACUGAUCAGCAGUAAAGCCG
This 1211-nucleotide long non-coding RNA is filed under the name Gallus gallus (chicken). The record is from RNAcentral. Lineage: Eukaryota; Metazoa; Chordata; Aves; Galliformes; Phasianidae.